This is a long non-coding RNA of Oreochromis aureus, 1969 nucleotides long. RefSeq lists it as uncharacterized. The record is from RefSeq and is a predicted model, not a curated record. The transcript has 3 exons. NCBI's taxonomy places the organism in Eukaryota, Metazoa, Chordata, Actinopteri, Cichliformes, Cichlidae.
GCAGGAGGAGACCACAGGAGGAAACUUGGGUCACAUGACUCUGCAAAUUUAACCACUGACUAAUGUUUUUAAACAGGGUUACAGGUGGAGUGGAGCUGCUCCAAGAGGGAAACCCUGGAGAUUGUUUUAGGGAGAAUGUGCGACAUUUUUGUACAUGUCUCAUUGUGUGGAGUUGACACAUGGCGAGAGCUGUGUGGCACAAGAGGAGUGUCAAUUUUUGAUUUGCAGGUGUCGUGAGGUGCCAUGACGAGAAGGAGUGACUGAGGAAGAUCGUCCACAAGAUGGAAGCUGAGGCCAGGAGAGAGGCUUCAGGAGGAUCAGAGAUCAUCUUCAGCACAGCAGACAUCCCACAGAGAGCUGUGCUACUGGGCUUCCAGGAGAUCGUCAUGAGGAGACUUCGCACAGCAAAAUCUUAAAUAAAAUGAAAGAGAUUCAGCAUUGAUGUUGAGGAAGACAACUAAGGUGUACGACGUGCUCUACCUUAAAUCGUCCGCGGUGUUGGAACGUGAGAACCUGAGGGAUGAAGGAGCGUGCCAAGCUCCAUCUGACGGGCAGGAGCAAGUUCAGCGAUGGACUUGUGGUUCUGUGAACAGCACAAAUGCCAGGUGCUUUUAUUUUGAAAGGGGCCGGGAGAAAAAGAAACGAGGGAGAAGGCAGCAGCCACGGGAGAUUGGAGGAGAGAGAGAAGCAUGGGUGAGAUACGGCUAGCGUCUACGGAGACUUUUCCCACGGGACGGCGAGGAUAAAUCAUCCCACGUCGACGGCGGAGUAACAGAGUGUAUGGGACUGUGAGGUAGUGCUGCCCGGACUGGCUUGCACUGUUGCCUCGGAAUCUCCUAGUUAGCGGCGUGCUAACUUGGCUAACCGGAGUUAGCCCUCAAGGCGGACUUCGCUAAGGAUCACCGGACCUGUACAGAGCGAGAGGCUACCAACUGCUGAGGCUGACCGAUCAGGACUGUUGGUUCCUACGCACACAAGCAUCGAUCCAGGCCUGCACCGAGGGGACUUGGGAAAUUGGGGUGUGAGUGUGUGGGGCCCAUUACGGUAACGAACUGUUUAACUGUUGUUAUUGUUAUAAUUUAUCAUUGCAAGAGACUGUUUACUUUAAUGAUUUUGUGGGUGUUUAUCAAUCCAUUCAGUAAACCCGCUUAGUUGAAACGGAAGAUCUUGUGUGUUGUACUGUUUCUUAUAUAUAGUUCAGAGUAAGAUAAAGGUGUUAUACGUGUGUAACUAAGGGGAGCUUGCACUGAGGGCAACUGGGUAAGUUCAAGGUAACUAGAACUCAGGGCGUACCCGGCUAUAGUGGAGUACUGAGUCAGGGGCGCUACAAGUAUGUGCAGCAGCUCAAGCUGUACAAUGUUCUGGGGAAAUUGUUUUAUUUCAUCCUUUGACACUGUUAGUUCCACACGAGGUAGAUGUUUUACUACUGCAGACUAAAAUUACAUUUCUGUCACCUGCAAGACACUUGUCUUAAAUGUCAUUGUUACUCUCACAACCACAUAUUACCAUAAAGCGGUGCACAAUUCUGAAUCCGUCAACCCUUUUGCCAACGAAGGAAGAGGGCACUCCUCAUGAGUGUAGAGAGCACAUGGAGAAGGAGUGUAAACCAAGAAAUCACUUAAUAGAUGUGCCAGUCAUUGAGGGAACGGUUUGGUUUGUUGAUGGUUUGAGCUUUACAACAGCUGAGGGACAGGCUAAAAUAGGUUUUACUGUAGGAGAUAUUUAGAAAGUUAUCUGUGCAGGACAAUUAGCAUGUUAGCAUUUAUUCUAUUAAUUUUCCUAUUAUGCUUUUAUUUGCGCUGUGUAUGUCAUAUCGCCAUUGUGUAUUGGUGGCAUUUUCCUGUGAACAUAAUUUUACAAUUUUACAUUUUUACAUUUUUAUGACCCUGAUUAUACUUGUGUUAUUUCCUUGUUUUAUGUUAAGCACUUUGGCAUACCGUUGGUUUUUAAAUGUGCUCUAUAAAUAAAG